Molecule: ribosomal RNA, 460 nt
Filed under: uncultured bacterium
Lineage: Bacteria
Description: partial 16S ribosomal RNA
Rfam family: Bacterial small subunit ribosomal RNA
Source: RNAcentral
CCUACGGGUGGCUGCAGUGGGGAAUAUUGGUCAAUGGGCGAGAGCCUGAACCAGCCAAGUCGCGUGAAGGAUGACGGCCCUACGGGUUGUAAACUUCUUUUGUCAGGGAGCAAUUGGGUCCACGCGUGGGCUUAGCGAGAGUACCUGAAGAAAAAGCAUCGGCUAACUCCGUGCCAGCAGCCGCGGUAAUACGGAGGAUGCGAGCGUUAUCCGGAUUUAUUGGGUUUAAAGGGUGCGUAGGCGGAAUAUCAAGUCAGCGGUAAAAAUUCGGGGCUCAACCCCGUCGUGCCGUUGAAACUGAUGUUCUUGAGAUGUCGAGAGGUAUGCGGAAUGCGCAGUGUAGCGGUGAAAUGCUUAGAUAUUGCGCAGAACUCCGAUUGCGAAGGCAGCAUACCGGCGGCGAUCUGACGCUGAGGCACGAAAGCGUGGGUAUCGAACAGGAUUAGAUACCCUGGUAGUC